CGGGACGGGUGAGUAACGCGUGGGUAACCUGCCUUAUACAGGGGGAUAACAGUCAGAAAUGGCUGCUAAUACCGCAUAAGCGCACAGAGCUGCAUGGCUCAGUGCGAAAAACUCCGGUGGUAUAAGAUGGACCCGCGUUGGAUUAGCUAGUUGGUGGGGUAACGGCCCACCAAGGCGACGAUCCAUAGCCGGCCUGAGAGGGUGACCGGCCACAUUGGGACUGAGACACGGCCCAA
This 236-nucleotide ribosomal RNA is filed under the name uncultured bacterium. RNAcentral describes it as "partial 16S ribosomal RNA". It matches the Rfam family "Bacterial small subunit ribosomal RNA", at positions 100 to 334 of the family's 1533-position model. The record is from RNAcentral.